RNAcentral lists this ribosomal RNA (1501 nucleotides) under uncultured anaerobic ammonium-oxidizing bacterium. RNAcentral describes it as "partial 16S ribosomal RNA". It matches the Rfam family "Bacterial small subunit ribosomal RNA". The record is from RNAcentral.
AACGAACGCUGGCGGCGUGGAUUAGGCAUGCAAGUCGAACGAGGAAGUGCCCCGUAAGGGGCGCAAGCCUAGUGGCGAAAGGGUGAGUAAUGCAUUGAUAACCUGCCUUUGAGAUGGGAAUAACUGCGUUUCGAGCAAUCGGAACUACCGAAAGGGCUGCUAAUACCCAAUAAUACUAUAGGUGCAAAAGCACUUGUGGUCAAAUGCUAGGAAUUCUGUUCCUUGUGCUUAAAGAGGGGUUAAUGUCCUAUCAGCUAGUUGGUGGGGUAAUGGCCUACCAAGGCAAAGACGGGUAGCCGGCUUGAGAGGGUGGUCGGCCACACUGGGACUGAGACACUGCCCAGACUCCUACGGGAGGCUGCAGUCGAGAAUCUUUCGCAAUGCCCGAAAGGGUGACGAAGCGACGCCGCGUGUGGGAAGAAGGCCUUCGGGUUGUAAACCACUGUCGGGAGUUAGGAAAUGCAGGUGCGUUAAUAGCGCACUUGCUUGACUAAGGCUCCAGAGGAAGCCACGGCUAACUCUGUGCCAGCAGCCGCGGUAAUACAGAGGCGGCAAGCGUUGUUCGGAAUUAUUGGGCGUAAAGAGCACGUAGGCGGCCUUGCAAGUCAGUUGUGAAAGCCUUCCGCUUAACGGAAGAACGGCAUCUGAUACUACAGGGCUUGAGUACGGGAGGGGAGAGUGGAACUUCUGGUGGAGCGGUGAAAUGCGUAGAUAUCAGAAGGAACGCCGGCGGCGAAAGCGACUCUCUGGUCCGAAACUGACGCUGAGUGUGCGAAAGCUAGGGGAGCAAACGGGAUUAGAUACCCCGGUAGUCCUAGCCGUAAACGAUGGGCACUAAGUAGAGGGGUUUUGAUUAUUUCUCUGCCGGAGCUAACGCAUUAAGUGCCCCGCCUGGGGAGUACGGCCGCAAGGCUAAAACUCAAAAGAAUUGACGGGGGCUCGCACAAGCGGUGGAGCAUGUGGCUUAAUUCGAUGCAACGCGAAGAACCUUACCUAGGCUUGAAAGGCAAGUGACAGGGUAUGAAAGUACCCCUCCAGCAAUGGCACUUGUACAGGUGCUGCAUGGCUGUCGUCAGCUCGUGCCGUGAGGUGUUGGGUUAAGUCCCGCAACGAGCGCAACCCCUACUAUUAGUUGCCACCAGGUUAUGCUGAGCACUCUAAUAGGACUGCCUACGCAAGUAGUGAGGAAGGUGGGGAUGACGUCAAGUCCGCAUGGCCCUUACGCCUAGGGCUACACACGUGCUACAAUGGGUGUUACAAUGGGUUGCCAAACCGCAAGGUGGAGCCAAUCCUUUAAAAGCAUCCUCAGUUCGGAUUGGAGUCUGAAACUCGACUCUAUGAAGUUGGAAUUGCUAGUAAUCGUGGAUCAGCACGCCACGGUGAAUACGUUCCCGGGCCUUGUACACACCGCCCGUCAAGCCAUGGAAGCCGGGGGUACCCAAAGCCAGUAUUCUAACCGCAAGGAGGAAACUGUUUAAGGUAAAACCGGUGACUGGGGCUA